This 208-nucleotide ribosomal RNA is filed under the name Yersinia pestis. Its description in RNAcentral is "partial 23S ribosomal RNA". It matches the Rfam family "Bacterial large subunit ribosomal RNA", at positions 2640 to 2844 of the family's 2925-position model. The record is from RNAcentral. Lineage: Bacteria; Pseudomonadati; Pseudomonadota; Gammaproteobacteria; Enterobacterales; Yersiniaceae.
AUCUGCCGUGGGCGUGGAUACUUGACGGAGCCUGCUCCUAGUACGAGAGGACCGGAGUGGACGUACCUCUGGUGUACCGGUUGUCAUGCCAAUGGCAUUGCCGGGUAGCUAAGUACGGAAGAGAUAACCGCUGAAGGCAUCUAAGCGGGAAACUCGUCUGAAGAUUAGGUAUCCCGGGGACUUGAUCCCCCUAAAGAGUCGUUCGAGA